AUAAGCUUUGAAACUCAUACAAAAA
RNAcentral lists this small nuclear RNA (25 nucleotides) under Arabidopsis thaliana (thale cress). Its description in RNAcentral is "snRNA_05259". The record is from RNAcentral. Lineage: Eukaryota; Viridiplantae; Streptophyta; Magnoliopsida; Brassicales; Brassicaceae.